This 420-nucleotide ribosomal RNA is filed under the name Amblyomma javanense. RNAcentral describes it as "partial large subunit ribosomal RNA". Lineage: Eukaryota; Metazoa; Arthropoda; Arachnida; Ixodida; Ixodidae. The record is from RNAcentral.
AAUUGCUGUGGUAUUUUGACUAUACAAAGGUAUUGUAAUAAGAUUUUAAUUGAAUGCUAAAAGAAUGGAUUAACAGAUAAAUACUUUCUUUAAUUUAAAAAUUAAAUUUAUUAUUUUUUGUGCAGAAACAAAAAUAAAAAUUAAGGACAAGAAGACCCUAAGAAUUUUAAUUUGAUUUAAAUAAUUUAUAUUUCUUAAUCAAAUUUAAUUGGGGCGAUUGAAAAAUAUUUUUAACUUUUUUUUAAAAAAAAUAUGAACCAUUAAUAAUGGUAAUAUGAAAAAAUACUCUAGGGAUAACAGCGUAAUAAUUUUUGAUAGUUCAUAUAGACAAAAUAGUUUGCGACCUCGAUGUUGGAUUAGGAUUCUAAUUUAAUGAAAAAGUUAAAUUAAGAAGUUUGUUCAACUUUUAAAUUCCUACUU